CUCAUGAUAGCCCGCCUCAACGGCCGUGCACCGUAGCUGGGGUUGUAGCCUUCAUCCACCACCCGCUCCUUGAACUUCUCAGUAACCUGCAGGUUGAUGUCCUUGGCCUUGAGUCGGUCGAAGACCUCCUGGAGCAUAAUAUCUGCGAUCUCCUUGACCUCGAGCUUGGUGAGCUGCCUGAAGACGAUCAUCUCAUCGAGACGGUUGAGGAACUCGGGGCGGAAGUACUGCUUCAUCUCCUCAAUGACGAGGCUCUUGAUCCUGCCAUAGCUGCUGUCCUUCUCGUCGGAGUCGAGGUCAAAACCAAUCUUACGCCCACCCUUCUCAAUGACACUGCUCCCGACGUUCGAGGUCAUGAUUAGGAGGGUGUUCUUGAAGUCCACUGUUCUUCCCUUGCUGUCGGUCAACCUCCCGUCUUCCAAAAUCUGGAGCAUCAUGUUGAAGACAUCAGGG
This 453-nucleotide long non-coding RNA is filed under the name Setaria viridis. Its description in RNAcentral is "long non-coding RNA (SVIR_LNC002606)". Lineage: Eukaryota; Viridiplantae; Streptophyta; Magnoliopsida; Poales; Poaceae. The record is from RNAcentral.